Molecule: non-coding RNA, 2173 nt
Organism: Pimephales promelas (fathead minnow)
Lineage: Eukaryota; Metazoa; Chordata; Actinopteri; Cypriniformes; Leuciscidae
Source: RefSeq, a predicted model, not a curated record
GAAAUUAUUUAUUAUUUUAUAUAAAUCAAUUUAUAAGCAUAUAAAAUACCUGUGGUUUCAUAUUUUGAAAUCACAGGUGAAGUUUUGUUUUUAUUUUACAUAUAGGGGAAUUAUCACCCUACGUCACACUGACGUCACGCAGGUGCAACUGCGCAUGUCGGUUGCAGAAGCUUCAAGCUAGCCGCUGAAACAAGCCCGGAAAAAUGUCGUGUUGUGCAGUGGGUUGCCAGAAUCGAAAGUCUGUAAAUAAAGAUCUGAAGUUUUACCGAAUACCAUCAACUCACACUCCUUUUAACGCCAACCGCAGACGUCUUUGGUUACAAGCCAUCAGAAGAAUCGACUGGAACGACAACCUAAUUAAAAAUGCCCGACUCUGCAGUUCUCACUUCAUAUCAGGAGAGGUGUCCAUGGACUCCAGUAGUCCUGACUUUGUCCCGUCUGUUUUUUCCUACUCAACCCAGUGUCAAAUAAACAAAGGCGACGCAAAACUUGAGAGAUUUAAGAGGAAAAGAACAAGAGAGGAAACCACACACAGACCCCCAGAUCACGUCCACCUAUCCACAGAAGUUACAGAUGAGGUUGCAUCAGAAUCCUCAGCCGCUUGCCUGUCCUCAGAUGACUGCAGAAUGGAGCCUGGUUCUGGUCCUUUCACAGAAGCCACAGUCACUAAGGUUCUCCAUGAUGAGCUGAAACUCAAGUACAGCCAACUUUCUGCAGAGUGUGUCAACCUGCGUUCAGAGAUCAACAAACUGAAAUCAGAGAAGGAGGAACUAAAGGAAACACUCAGAAAAACACAGUUUUCCUUUAGCUCUAUCAAGAGCAAAGCGGUGCAUGUUCUGUUUUUCACAGGUCUGACCAGUGUCAUUUUUGAGUGGUUGAUUCAGAAACUUAAAGGCAGUGUAGAGGUUGUGCGUGGCUCUAUGAGCCUAGAGGACCAUCUAUUAGUUACACUAAUGAAACUAAGAUUAGGACUCAGCAACAAGGAUAUUGCUUUCAGAUUUAAUGUAACAGAAUGUGACGUGUCGAAAAUUUUGAGAAGUUGGCUCCCUGUCAUGUCUGCGACUUUAAAACCUCUCAUUAAGUGGCCAAGCAAGCAAGCAAUAUUAAAGAAUAUGCCAAAAUGUUUUAAACCUAAAUAUAAACGUUGCAGGUGCAUCAUUGACUGCACAGAAAUUUUUAUAAACAGACCCACAAAUUUAACCUCCAGAGCCCAGACGUACUCAACUUAUAAAAGCCACAACACUGUAAAAUAUUUAGUUGGCAUGUCACCUGCAGGAGCCAUUACUUUUCUGUCGGCAGGUUGGGGCGGGCGUGUUUCCGAUAAACAAAUUACAGCAGAGUCUGGAUUUUAUGACCUUCUAGAGCAUAAUGAUGAGAUUCUAGCAGAUCGUGGUUUCACCAUCAGAGAUGAGCUUGCUACACGCGGUGCCACACUUAGGAUCCCUCACUUUACCAAAGGAAAGAAGCAGCUCUCUGCUCAAGAAGUGGACACAUCAAGGCGUUUGUCUAAUGUGAGAAUACACAUUGAAAGAGUAAUUGGUAGAUGGAAAAACUUCAAAAUUCUGACAACUGUUAUUCCACUCACACAGGUUGACCUCUUAGAUGACAUGGUGAUUGUGUGUGGAGCAUUAACAAACCUCUGUAAAUGCAUAGUCCCAAGAAGAUAACUUGAAGCGGUUAACGUUUUUUUUUAAAUUAUUAUUUUUUUAGGUGGUGGUGACUGCAACAGAACAGAGAAGGAUCAGUGAACAAUUAAUUGUAUGUCUUGGACAUGACCACACAGAACAAAAUUAUAGGCAUCAAGAGAUUUGUACGCUUUCAACUUCUCCUGGGUAUAAACACUUGGAGUGUCGAUCAGGUAAUUAUAUAUUUCUGGCCACUGAAUGCUUGGCCAUUUCGUUUCGUCGUUUGACCAUUGACAAAGCUCUAUGGCAAACGGAUCUGUAAGACGUAUCCCACUCAUUAAGGUAAGCUUAGUUGAAUAACAGCUCUUAUCGCUGGGUGACAAGCUGUUGUAAUACGCGGAGAACAUUUUAAAUAUGUACAAUCUAAUCAAUAUAAAAUGUAAUGUUGAUAUCUAACUACGUAACGAUAACGUAAUGUAUUAUUUUGCUAGCUAACACCUCUCCCGCGCUCUCGCUUCUGCAACCAAGCUGCGCGCGCAUCCCGAAUG